AUGAAAAGGAGAUGUCUUUGAAGGAAUUAGAAUCAAAGCUUCGAAAACUAUAUGAACAAAAGAAGCAGAUAUAUAAAGAUAUUAGUAUAGCACAGGCAUUUGAGAAGAAAACUAACGAGGAAGUCAAAGCACUGAAGCACAAAUUGCGAAAGUCAAUACUAAGGGAAGCUGAAAUAGUGGUAAGUACUUUAAGUGGCUGUG
This 201-nucleotide unclassified non-coding RNA is filed under the name Hevea brasiliensis (rubber tree). Lineage: Eukaryota; Viridiplantae; Streptophyta; Magnoliopsida; Malpighiales; Euphorbiaceae. The record is from RNAcentral.